This 256-nucleotide long non-coding RNA is filed under the name Helianthus annuus (common sunflower). RNAcentral describes it as "sRNA HanXRQr2_Chr11g0493271". Lineage: Eukaryota; Viridiplantae; Streptophyta; Magnoliopsida; Asterales; Asteraceae. The record is from RNAcentral.
GUACAAUGUCAGAAACUGCGAAAAAUAAAAUUUCGAAAAACGUCGAUUGUUGGCUGUUUUGCUUCUGGUGGUUAAGUACUGCUCUACUUGUGAAGUAAGUAUAUGGGAAGACAAUAGGUAGCUUUCUUCCCAAAGUCCCUUGCGUCAGGUAACAUUCUGAUCGCUGGUUGGUUGGUUGCUUGUUUGAUACAGUGAAGUGUGCAAUUACAUUUUUGCUAAGGAUAUUUGUUGGUUAUAGUUCUUCAGCUUUCUUAUU